GGGCGCGUAGCUCAACGGCAGAGCGCCGGACUUUUGAUCCGGUGGUUAUGGGUUCAAGUCCCACCGUGCCCU
Molecule: transfer RNA, 72 nt
Filed under: Marseillevirus LCMAC202
Lineage: Varidnaviria; Bamfordvirae; Nucleocytoviricota; Megaviricetes; Pimascovirales; Marseilleviridae
Description: tRNA-Lys
Rfam family: tRNA
About the family: Transfer RNA (tRNA) molecules are approximately 80 nucleotides in length.
Source: RNAcentral